CAAUAGCGUAUAUUAAAGUUGUUGCAGUUAAAAAGCUCGUAGUUGGAUUUCUGAUCGAGACAUCAGGUCGGGUCCGAGAGGAUCAUGUACUUUGAUUUUGUUUUGAUCAUCCUUGGGGAGAGCAUUUCUGGCAUUCAGUUGUCGGGAUUGGGAUCCUCAUCGUUUACUGUGAAAAAAUUAGAGUGUUCAAAGCAGGCCUCGGCCUCUGAAUACAUUAGCAUGGAAUAAUAAGAUAGGACUUUGGUGGUCUAUUUUGUUGGUUUGCACGCCAAAGUAAUGAUUAAUAGGGAUAGUUGGGGGUAUUCGUAUUCAAUUGUCAGAAGUGAAAUUCUUGGAUUUAUGGAAGACGAACUACUGCGAAAGCAUUUACCAAGGAUGUUUUCAUUAA
This 388-nucleotide ribosomal RNA is filed under the name uncultured eukaryote. Its description in RNAcentral is "partial 18S ribosomal RNA". It matches the Rfam family "Eukaryotic small subunit ribosomal RNA", at positions 592 to 976 of the family's 1831-position model. The record is from RNAcentral.